UGCUGGGAGUUUUGUACUGGCACCCAGCAUGAACUGCACAAUGAAAUUUUAUUUUCAUUGUCACCCAUGUUGAGAUUCACAGGCUGAAUGUUGAUGUCUGUGUGUGUUUACGGCCUAUCAUAGUUCAAAACUUUUAUUUGUCAUCAGUUUAAAGCUUUUAUUUAGGACUAUUGUGCUGAGAAAUUUCUCAAAAUCGUUGUGGUAGGUGUGAUUGGUGUAAUUCAAAAGUAUCUUUCCAACUCAGACUGCACAGGUUUUGCGUGUGAGGUGAGCUAAUCAAAAAUUGAAGAUCUAGGUAAACAAUGAAUUAGUCUUUUCUGUUGCUUUUAGCAUUAUAGUUUUGUAUUUUUUUGUAGUGUGAUCAACGUUUGUGUAAGUAGUAGAUGUGUUGGGGAAGUAACACAUAACAUUUUAAUUACAUUUUGCUAAAAUGAAAGAAGUGACUCGAAAAAAGAUUUGUUCAUUUUGCUGAACGAGACUCAAAGGUCCGAGUCGAUAAAAUGAUCCGAACUUCCCAUCACUAGUUGUCACUUUAAAAGUAUACAGUACACUUGUUUCCGCUUCACGCGCGCACUUUGCCCACUUAGUUCACUUCCUUCCGAGCCGAGAGAAGUUUGUCUCGUGGUCCGUCAAGGUAUUAAACGGCAAUAUUCCUUACAUUUGAUGAUAUAUUCUGAAUUGAAGCUGUUUCUUGCUUUGUUAAACAUACCUUGUAUGUGGGAUUAUGAAAUCGUAUUUGUGAAUGAUUGCAAUUGUGACUGUUUGCGAUUGUGAGUGAGAUUAGAAUAUAUUUGCCUGCUGUAUUUACUCUUCCUUUGCCAACAGGUGUUUACUUAAAUGAAGAGAGUCACAAAAUUAAUGUUUUCAACAAAUUUCCCCAUUUAUGCAGAAAAUAAAGACAGUGUCAAGCAGUAAAAGGGUCUGAAGUUUCUUAAUUGAGUGACAUCAACACAACGCAGAGUGGAUUCCCCUUACCUGGGACCCAUUACAAUGGUGCCGUGACCUUUUAAAGAUCCAUCCAAAGUGUUUGUUCGCCGAGGGAAGCUGCAGUGUCUGGUUUUGGUUUUUUUUUUUUUUUUUUCCUCAAGGACUGAAGGACUAUUUUAUAUGAAAGUGGACUGUUUUUCUAAGAAGACACGUCACCAAUUUGAAUUCAGACUUUAUUAGCAAAAUAACAGACUGAUUGCUGUUAUCAAUUUAUGCUAUUCAGAACAAUAUUUGUGUUUGUUUAUUAUAAUAAAGUUGAAGUUAAUUGACUGUUA
This is a long non-coding RNA of Cyprinus carpio (common carp), 1262 nucleotides long. RefSeq lists it as uncharacterized. The transcript is spliced from 2 exons. NCBI's taxonomy places the organism in Eukaryota, Metazoa, Chordata, Actinopteri, Cypriniformes, Cyprinidae. The record is from RefSeq and is a predicted model, not a curated record.